This 468-nucleotide ribosomal RNA is filed under the name uncultured bacterium. Its description in RNAcentral is "partial 16S ribosomal RNA". It matches the Rfam family "Bacterial small subunit ribosomal RNA", at positions 28 to 507 of the family's 1533-position model. The record is from RNAcentral.
GACGAACGCUGGCGGCGUGCUUAACACAUGCAAGUCGAACGGAAAGGCCCUGCUCUUGUGGGGUGCUCGAGUGGCGAACGGGUGAGUAACACGUGAGUAACCUGCCCUUGACUUUGGGAUAACUUCAGGAAACUGGGGCUAAUACCGGAUAGGAUCUCCUGCUGCAUGGUGGGGGUUGGAAAGUUUCGGCGGUUGGGGAUGGACUCGCGGCUUAUCAGCUUGUUGGUGGGGUAGUGGCUUACCAAGGCUUUGACGGGUAGCCGGCCUGAGAGGGUGACCGGCCACAUUGGGACUGAGAUACGGCCCAGACUCCUACGGGAGGCAGCAGUGGGGAAUAUUGCACAAUGGGCGGAAGCCUGAUGCAGCAACGCCGCGUGCGGGAUGACGGCCUUCGGGUUGUAAACCGCUUUCGCCUGUGACGAAGCGUGAGUGACGGUAAUGGGUAAAGAAGCACCGGCUAACUACGUG